GAUGAAGAACGCAGUGAAAUGCGAUAAGUAGUGUGAAUUGCAGAAUUCAGUGAAUCAUCGAAUCUUUGAACGCACAUUGCGCCCCUUGGUAUUCCAUGGGGCAUGCCUGUUCGAGCGUCAUUUGUACCUUCAAGCUCUGCUUGGUGUUGGGUGUUUGUCUCGCCUCUGCGUGUAGACUCGCCUCAAAACAAUUGGCAGCCGGCGUAUUGAUUUCGGAGCGCAGUACAUCUCGCGCUUUGCACUCAUAACGACGACGUCCAAAAGUACAUUUUUACACUCUUGACCUCGGAUCAGGUAGGGAUCCCCGCUGAACUUAAGCAUAUCAAUAAGCGGAGGA
Molecule: unclassified non-coding RNA, 337 nt
Filed under: soil metagenome
Description: partial contains 5.8S ribosomal RNA, internal transcribed spacer 2, and large subunit ribosomal RNA
Rfam family: 5.8S ribosomal RNA (bases 1-120)
Source: RNAcentral